RNAcentral lists this ribosomal RNA (253 nucleotides) under uncultured bacterium. RNAcentral's name for it is "partial 16S ribosomal RNA". It matches the Rfam family "Bacterial small subunit ribosomal RNA", at positions 524 to 776 of the family's 1533-position model. The record is from RNAcentral.
UACGUAGGGUGCAAGCGUUGUCCGGAUUUAUUGGGCGUAAAGAGCUCGUAGGCGGUUUGUCGCGUCGGAUGUGAAAACCCAGGGCUCAACCCUGGGCCUGCAUUCGAUACGGGCAAACUAGAGUAUGGCAGGGGAGACUGGAAUACUUGGUGUAGCAGUGAAAUGCGUAGAUAUCAAGUGGAACACCAGUGGCGAAGGCGAGUCUCUGGACAUUUCCUGACGCUGAGGCACGAAAGCCAGGGGAGCAAACGGA